AUUGAACGCUGGCGGCAGGCCUAACACAUGCAAGUCGAGCGGAUGAAGGGAGCUUGCUCCUGGAUUCAGCGGCGGACGGGUGAGUAAUGCCUAGGAAUCUGCCUGGUAGUGGGGGAUAACGUCCGGAAACGGGCGCUAAUACCGCAUACGUCCUGAGGGAGAAAGUGGGGGAUCUUCGGACCUCACGCUAUCAGAUGAGCCUAGGUCGGAUUAGCUAGUUGGUGGGGUAAAGGCCUACCAAGGCGACGAUCCGUAACUGGUCUGAGAGGAUGAUCAGUCACACUGGAACUGAGACACGGUCCAGACUCCUACGGGAGGCAGCAGUGGCGAAUAUUGGACAAUGGGCGAAAGCCUGAUCCGGCCAUGCCGCGUGUGUGAAGAAGGUCUUCGGAUUGUAAAGCACUUUAAGUUGGGAGGAAGGGCAGUAAGUUAAUACCUUGCUGUUUUGACGUUACCAACAGAAUAAGCACCGGCUAACUUCGUG
Molecule: ribosomal RNA, 484 nt
Filed under: uncultured bacterium
Lineage: Bacteria
Description: partial 16S ribosomal RNA
Rfam family: Bacterial small subunit ribosomal RNA
Source: RNAcentral